This 754-nucleotide ribosomal RNA is filed under the name Salmonella enterica. RNAcentral describes it as "partial 23S ribosomal RNA". It matches the Rfam family "Bacterial large subunit ribosomal RNA", at positions 1 to 687 of the family's 2925-position model. RNAcentral also lists the same sequence under 1 other name. The record is from RNAcentral. Lineage: Bacteria; Pseudomonadati; Pseudomonadota; Gammaproteobacteria; Enterobacterales; Enterobacteriaceae.
GGGUUGUGAGGUUAAGCGACUAAGCGUACACGGUGGAUGCCCUGGCAGUCAGAGGCGAUGAAGGGCGUGCUAAUCUGCGAUAAGCGCCGGUAAGGUGAUAUGAACCGUUAUAACCGGCGAUACCCGAAUGGGGAAACCCAGUGUGAUUCGUCACACUAUCAUUAACUGAAUCCAUAGGUUAAUGAGGCGAACCGGGGGAACUGAAACAUCUAAGUACCCCGAGGAAAAGAAAUCAACCGAGAUUCCCCCAGUAGCGGCGAGCGAACGGGGAGGAGCCCAGAGCCUGAAUCAGCAUGUGUGUUAGUGGAAGCGUCUGGAAAGGCGCGCGAUACAGGGUGACAGCCCCGUACACAAAAGCGCAUGUGCUGUGAGCUCGAUGAGUAGGGCGGGACACGUGGUAUCCUGUCUGAAUAUGGGGGGACCAUCCUCCAAGGCUAAAUACUCCUGACUGACCGAUAGUGAACCAGUACCGUGAGGGAAAGGCGAAAAGAACCCCGGCGAGGGGAGUGAAAAAGAACCUGAAACCGUGUACGUACAAGCAGUGGGAGCCCCACCACUAAGCCAGUGGUGAACUCCACAUACGCAUCCUUUGCUGAGGAUACGGUUAACGGAGCGAAAGCGACGUUCAACCUCAAAAGAAGCAGAGGGGGCUUAGUGGUGGGGUGACUGCGUACCUUUUGUAUAAUGGGUCAGCGACUUAUAUUCUGUAGCAAGGUUAACCGAAUAGGGGAGCCGGAGGGAAACCGAGUCUUAA